GAUGAACGCUAGCGGCAGGCUUAAUACAUGCAAGUCGAACGGUAAGUUUGGUAGCAAUACUAAGUCAAGAGUGACGUACGGGUGCGUAACACGUAUGCAACCUACCUUGUACAGGAGGAUAGCUCGGGGAAACUCGAAUUAACCCUCCAUGAGAUAGUAGUGAGGCAUCUCACAGUUAUUAAAACUCAGGUGGUACAAGAUGGGCAUGCGUCUGAUUAGUUAGUUGGAGUGUAACGGACUACCAAGACGAUGAUCAGUA
This 259-nucleotide ribosomal RNA is filed under the name uncultured bacterium. Its description in RNAcentral is "partial 16S ribosomal RNA". It matches the Rfam family "Bacterial small subunit ribosomal RNA", at positions 28 to 285 of the family's 1533-position model. The record is from RNAcentral.